RNAcentral lists this ribosomal RNA (939 nucleotides) under Hypocreales sp. LM471. RNAcentral describes it as "eukaryotic LSU rRNA". The stretch from base 1 to 358 matches the Rfam family "Eukaryotic small subunit ribosomal RNA", at positions 1474 to 1831 of the family's 1831-position model. The record is from RNAcentral. Lineage: Eukaryota; Fungi; Ascomycota; Sordariomycetes; Hypocreales.
UAGAGUUCUGGGCCGCACGCGCGCUACACUGACUGAAGCCAGCGAGUACUCCCUUGGCCGGAAGGCCCGGGUAAUCUUGUUAAACUCAGUCGUGCUGGGGAUAGAGCAUUGCAAUUAUUGCUCUUCAACGAGGAAUCCCUAGUAAGCGCAAGUCAUCAGCUUGCGUUGAUUACGUCCCUGCCCUUUGUACACACCGCCCGUCGCUACUACCGAUUGAAUGGCUCAGUGAGGCGUCCGGACUGGCCCAGAGAGGUGGGCAACUACCACUCAGGGCCGGAAAGCUCUCCAAACUCGGUCAUUUAGAGGAAGUAAAAGUCGUAACAAGGUCUCCGUUGGUGAACCAGCGGAGGGAUCAUUACCGAGUUAUCAACUCCCAAACCCCUGUGAACAUACCUUUUGUUGCCUCGGCGGGAUCGCCCCGGCGCCUUCGGGCCCGGAUCCAGGCGCCCGCCGCAGGACCCUAAACUCUUGUUUUCUAUAUGAAUCUUCUGAGUGACACAAGCAAAUAAAUUAAAACUUUCAACAACGGAUCUCUUGGUUCUGGCAUCGAUGAAGAACGCAGCGAAAUGCGAUAAGUAAUGUGAAUUGCAGAAUUCAGUGAAUCAUCGAAUCUUUGAACGCACAUUGCGCCCGGCAGUAUUCUGCCGGGCAUGCCUGUUCGAGCGUCAUUUCAACCCUCAAGCCCCCGGGCUUGGUGUUGGAGAUCGGCCCGCCCCUGUGGCAGGCCGGCUCCGAAAUCUAAUGGCGGUCCCGCUGUAACUUCCUCUGCGUAGUAGCAAUAUCUCGCACCGGAAAAGCGACGGAACCUUGCCGUAAAACACCCAACUUCUGAAAGGUUGACCUCGGAUCAGGGAAGGAAUACCCCCUGAACUUAAGCAUAUCAUAAGCCGGAGGAAAAAAAACCACGGGGAUGGCCUAAUAACGGCGAGGGAACGGCAC